This 869-nucleotide long non-coding RNA is filed under the name Manihot esculenta (cassava). RNAcentral's name for it is "long non-coding RNA (MESC_LNC010960)". Lineage: Eukaryota; Viridiplantae; Streptophyta; Magnoliopsida; Malpighiales; Euphorbiaceae. The record is from RNAcentral.
GUACGUCCACCUGUGUAGGCUCGGACCUGAGGCGAGGUGUUUAGCUCCAGUGUGAGAGUUGGCCCAGAGUUAGUCAUAGCUUGGCUUCAGGUGAGUAGACCUAACUAUGCAUGUUUUCAAGUUAAUGAUUACAGAGCAUGACAGUAUGAGCAUGAGACACGCAUCAUGGAUGCCAUGUGAUACUAGGUUGUAUUGCAUUAGAGAUCACGAAUAUGUUGCAUUGCAUUAUGAUUGUUGAUGGGAUGGACCAAGGCGAUCUCAGUAGCCCGCUACCUGUUAUGUCUAGAUAAGACCUUUGGGAGCUCCGUAGUUAGGGGCCGGGCUCUAGUACAUGUAGUGUCCUGGGAGUACAGAGGGAGUUCUGGGAUCAUGUCUAAUCCGAGAUGUGAGAUGUUUGUGUUGUGACACAUUCCAUGAAAGCAUAUAAUGAAUGAACUGGUCUAUGGUUUCUACUCACUGGGCUCUUGUAGCUCACCCCAUUCCCAUAAUCCCAGUUUUGCAGGGCCAGAGUUCAGCAGAGUGAGCUAUGAGAAAAGCAGAGUCAGCAGAGUGAGCGUGAGCUAUGAGAAAAGCAGAGUGAGCAUGAGUUGCCGUGUUUGGCUGUACUAGCAUAGCUAGGUUUUGAUACAGUGGCUUGUAAAGAAGCUUGAUGUAUAGAGAUGAAAGAGGCUUGAUGUAUAUGUUUAUGAUGUAAAGAUUAAGGAUGAUAUGCUAUGUUAUGUAUGUUUGUAUGUUUGUAUAGUAUAGUUGUGGACAUGUUGUAUGGACAUGAUGUGUAUACAGGUUAUGCAUGGAAAGAGCUUGUGGUAAAGAGUAUAAUGAGAUAAUGUCUAGAAUUGUGCUUUGCCCAGUGUGUGCUGAAUCCCUAG